This 253-nucleotide ribosomal RNA is filed under the name uncultured bacterium. RNAcentral's name for it is "partial 16S ribosomal RNA". It matches the Rfam family "Bacterial small subunit ribosomal RNA", at positions 524 to 776 of the family's 1533-position model. The record is from RNAcentral.
UACGGAGGAUGCGAGCGUUAUCCGGAUUUAUUGGGUUUAAAGGGUGCGUAGGCGGCACUUUAAGUCAGGGGUGAAAGACGGCAGCUUAACUGUCGCAGUGCCUUUGAUACUGCAGUGCUUGAAUGCGGUUGAAGACGGCGGAAUGAGACGAGUAGCGGUGAAAUGCAUAGAUAUGUCGCAGAACACCGAUUGCGAAGGCAGCUGUCUAAGCCGUUAUUGACGCUGAUGCACGAAAGCGUGGGGAUCGAACAGG